Molecule: ribosomal RNA, 470 nt
Filed under: uncultured bacterium
Lineage: Bacteria
Description: SSU rRNA
Rfam family: Bacterial small subunit ribosomal RNA
Source: RNAcentral
AGGAUAAACGCUGGCGGCGUGCCUAACACAUGCAAGUCGAACGUCUCUUCUUUCGGGAAGAGGAGUGGCGGACGGGUGAGGAACACGUGGGAACCUGCCCUUUAGUGAGGAAUACCGGCGAGAAAUCGCCGACAAGACCGCAUAGCCCUCUUUGAUGAGAGUCAAAGAAGGAAAGCUUCGCAAGAGGCGCUAGAGGAGGGGCCUGCGUCCGAUUAGCUAGUUGGUGGGGUAAGAGCCUACCAAGGCGUCGAUCGGUAGCUGGUCUGAGAGGACGAUCAGCCACACUGGGAUUGAGAACGGCCCAGACUCCUACGGGGGGCAGCAGUGAGGAAUUUUCGGCAAUGGGGGAAACCCUGACCGAGCAACGCCGCGUGCAGGAAGACGGCCUUCGGUUGUAAACUGCUUUUCUUUGGGACGAGAACGGACGGUACCAGAGGAAUCAGCCCGGCUCACUACGUGCCAGCAGCCGC